GCAGAAAUUCGGCUUGCAUCGUUAAUAAUCGAUGUACAUAAGUGGAAGAAGCUUCGGAUUAUCCGAUGCAAAUCCUGGAUAUGAAGUCCACACAGACGCCAUCCUUCUGCGCUAUUCGAGCAACUUGUCAGUAUUGCCUACCCAGAGGACCACAUUUCCCGUGAAGUAGCUGUAUAUAUACAAUACAUCAGCUUAAUCAAUCUCCUCUCCAUUCUCACUUCUCAAAGUAUAGACGUGUGUAGUCAGAGUCGAGCCUGUCACCGGAUUGAUUUUGUGUUAUUUGAGAAUCCCAAGGAUGCUGUAUGCCAGAUUGGAAUGUGGCCUUGCAAGAGUCCGAACCCUCUCAACUGAUACUCUCUUCGCUUAGAGCCUUGCUCAUCAGCAUUCACCGUAUAAACGGGCGUUCUUCUCCCCAUUCAUACCAGAAUAAUGUAUCUAAUGGCUCCUAGAUCCACCACCUCGAAACAUUCCAAUGACGUAUAUGUAUCCAUAUUUGGAAUAUGAGAAAGCAGGAGGUCAUUAUA
Long non-coding RNA from Drosophila pseudoobscura, 524 nucleotides. RefSeq lists it as uncharacterized. The record is from RefSeq and is a predicted model, not a curated record. The transcript is spliced from 2 exons. NCBI's taxonomy places the organism in Eukaryota, Metazoa, Arthropoda, Insecta, Diptera, Drosophilidae.